GUGAAAACAUACCUAAAAAUUAACCUAGAGACUUGGUGCUUUUUAUAUUUUAUAGAUAUACACUUUUACUUUAUGUAAACAAUUGUUAAAGAUAAAACUAAGGUUCAAUUAUAACAGUAUAAAGACUUUGUCAUAAAUUCUUUAAAAAGAAAAUAUUAAUAGCAUAACAUAAAUUUUAUAUACUUAUUGGAUGAUAGAAAGUGGGCAACAAAUAUUCCUACCUGACCUACAACCAUUAUCAGCUGGGUUAUGUUAUACUAAUUCUCAAAUCUGAUGUUGAAAUUUUCCUUCAUUUUAGUAUCAUCUUGAAAAUUAACUGAGUUUUACUAGCACAUAGUCAUAGUAAGUAUAAUGCAUCCUUUGGGCUUUGAUUGCAUUGGCCAAUCUGAGAAGAGCAUUAGAACAAAGCAAAGAAAAUCAUGCUAUAAGGACAGAAAAACUAGAAAAAUGAAAAUCUUUUCUCAGCCCCAGACCUUAUAUCUUUGCUUAUGGCGUAAAUCCUUAAUUUUUAUUAUAUGUAAAAAAGUACAGAAUAUUUUGUUGCUCCCGAAUGGCCAGUGUGUUAAAAGCCAGGGUUUUUUUUCUUCUUACAAUGUUAUACCAAAAUUAGAAUGCAUAGUAUUAGAAUAGAGAGCAAUGUAUAUUCUAAACACAGGCUCAUUUAGGGGAGAAUGUAAACUUUAUGCAAACAGUUCUUCUCAGUUUUGUAGGAAAGAUUUUUUAAAAACCUUAUACUCUACCUGAAAAUAAAAAGAAAUUAAUAACCAGUCUAGAUUAUAAAAAGGGGGGGGACCAAAAAUUUUCAUUUAUUUCAAUAUGCCCAGAAGAAAAUAUGAAACAUUUCUACACUACUUCUCCUGCAAACUUUCCUCCUAUUUUAAAAGAAAAAUCAAAAGGAAUAUGCCAUGGACUCUCUUCACAUAUGAUACUGGAUCUAAUGGAAGAGAACACGCCAAGACACAGCACAUUAAAAAAAAAAAAGUAAGCUGUCCACAAGAACUGUUUGGUUCUUGACUGAAAAAUAUCAACCCCACCCAAGACUGAGCAAUAUCUUUCUGAGUUGAUGUGCAUCCUGCUUUGCCAACAUCUUGAUUAUGUCUGAUGUCCCACAAUAAAUAUUAACAAUGCCUCCUUUCACUCCUAAAUGCC
RNAcentral lists this long non-coding RNA (1149 nucleotides) under Heterocephalus glaber (naked mole-rat). RNAcentral's name for it is "lncRNA (ENSHGLG00000036629.1)". The record is from RNAcentral. Lineage: Eukaryota; Metazoa; Chordata; Mammalia; Rodentia; Bathyergidae.